This is a long non-coding RNA of Triticum dicoccoides, 237 nucleotides long. RefSeq lists it as uncharacterized. The record is from RefSeq and is a predicted model, not a curated record. NCBI's taxonomy places the organism in Eukaryota, Viridiplantae, Streptophyta, Magnoliopsida, Poales, Poaceae. The transcript has 3 exons.
CAGGCGACCUGAAGCCCGGCGCCGAUGUCAACAUAACGGGGCCAGUAGGCAAAGAGAUGCUCAUGCCUAAAGACCCCAAUGCUACUAUUAUCAUGCUCGCAACAGGGACCGGUAUCGCGCCAUUCCGGUCAUUCUUGUGGAAGAUGUUCUUCGAGAAGUACGAAGACUACAAGUUCAAUGGCCUGGCAUGGCUCUUCUUGGGAGUUCCCACCAGCAACUCUCUGCUCUACCCGGAGG